This 292-nucleotide ribosomal RNA is filed under the name uncultured Bacteroidota bacterium. Its description in RNAcentral is "uncultured Bacteroidetes bacterium partial 16S ribosomal RNA". The record is from RNAcentral. Lineage: Bacteria; Pseudomonadati; Bacteroidota.
GGACUACCGGGGUAUCUAAUCCUGUUUGAUCCCCACACUUUCGUGCCUCAGCGUCAAAUUUAGUUUAGUGGCCUGCCUUCGCUAUCGAUAUUCUGUGUGAUAUCUAUGCAUUUCACCGCUACACCACACAUUCCGACCACUUCAUCUAAUUUCUAGCUACACAGUAUCAACGGCAAUUUUACAGUUAAGCUGCAAACUUUCACCGCUGACUUAUAUAGCCGCCUACGCACCCUUUAAACCCAAUAAAUCCGGAUAACGCUCGCAUCCUCCGUAUUACCGCGGCGGCUGGCAC